Molecule: long non-coding RNA, 557 nt
Filed under: Lactuca sativa (garden lettuce)
Lineage: Eukaryota; Viridiplantae; Streptophyta; Magnoliopsida; Asterales; Asteraceae
Description: long non-coding RNA (LSAT_LNC001687)
Source: RNAcentral
UUCAAAGGGAUGUUCAUCCAUAUAUACUUCCCAAUCUCACGGGUAAACCAAUUACCAUGGUUCCCGACAGGGGAAUAUGUCAGCUCCUUAUCGAAAUCCAAAUCUACAGGCUUUCCCUUGUUUGCCCUUAUUAUCUUUGAUAGUUGAAUGUUUUUUGCUAGGCCUCUUCUUUUUUUAGGGAGCUCAGCUGAAAAAUAUAAUCAAAAAUAUUAAUCACGAUAGCUUAUAAUAAAUGGAUAAAAAUAUCUAACAAAUAUAUCAUAAUAAGACUUACCAUCCUGUUUGUGUUUACCACGACCAAAGCCUACGGGAGGUGGUGGAUCCCCGACUCCAUCACCUCCAUGUCCUAAGCCCAUAACAUCCGCCAUCACGUAGAAGAGUAUCGCCCAACUAAACCCCAUAUAUAGCCUGGAAAAUUACAAUAUGAAUAGAUUUUACACAUAUUACAUAUACAAAAAUAAUACAGUUUCUAUUAUAACAUUGUAAUUUCCAAAUUGCAUACAAAUACAUACACAAUAUAACAUCAUACUUUUUUUUUCCAUAAAAUAUGAUAAAAC